UACGAACUGUGCGAACGUUAUUCGGAAUCACUGGGCUUACAGGGUGCGUAGGCGGCUUAUCAAGUCAGGUGUGAAAUCCCACGGCUCAACCGUGGAAUGGCGCUUGAAACUGGUGAGCUGGAGUGAGCUAGAGGUACACGGAACUGCCGGUGGAGCGGUGAAAUGUGUUGAUAUCGGCAGGAACACCAGAGCCGAAAGGGGUGUACUGGGGCUUAACUGACGCUGAGGCACGAAAGCCAGGGGAUCAAACGGG
Molecule: ribosomal RNA, 253 nt
Filed under: uncultured bacterium
Lineage: Bacteria
Description: partial 16S ribosomal RNA
Rfam family: Bacterial small subunit ribosomal RNA
Source: RNAcentral